Molecule: long non-coding RNA, 316 nt
Organism: Rhododendron vialii
Lineage: Eukaryota; Viridiplantae; Streptophyta; Magnoliopsida; Ericales; Ericaceae
Exons: 2
Source: RefSeq, a predicted model, not a curated record
UCUCGGCUCUCUCUCUCUCUCUCCUCCUCUCCUCCGAAAAACUCCCUCCUCUCUUCUCUCUUCGAUUUUAUCUACCUAAGGUGUGAUUCCGGACAAGGUCCGAGAAUUAAAGUUGCUAUACGAAGCACGGGCUUUCUGAAUAUCCAAGAAAAUUUAUGAUCGGACCUCGUGGGAGCUCGGUUGACUUGGUCAAAAGGUUGGGUUUUGCUCAAAACCCUUGAGGUUCAUUGCAGGUCAUGGUCAUGGAGUACUUGGAGUGCAUGCUGACAUUAUCGAUUAAAGCUAUUUUGGAGAGUACUUUAUUAUUCUUGUAUAA